AUGAACGCUGGCGGCGUGCCUAAUACAUGCAAGUCGAGCGAACAGACGAGGAGCUUGCUCCUCUGACGUUAGCGGCGGACGGGUGAGUAACACGUGGAUAACCUACCUAUAAGACUGGGAUAACUUCGGGAAACCGGAGCUAAUACCGGAUAAUAUAUUGAACCGCAUGGUUCAAUAGUGAAAGACGGUUUUGCUGUCACUUAUAGAUGGAUCCGCGCCGCAUUAGCUAGUUGGUAAGGUAACGGCUUACCAAGGCGACGAUGCGUAGCCGACCUGAGAGGGUGAUCGGCCACACUGGAGCUGAGACACGGUCCAGGCUCCUACGGGAGGCAGCAGUAGGGAAUCUUCCGCAAUGGGCGAAAGCCUGACGGAGCAACGCCGCGUGAGUGAUGAAGGUCUUCGGAUCGUAAAACUCUGUUAUUAGGGAAGAACAAAUGUGUAAGUAACUAUGCACGUCUUGACGGUACCUAAUCAGAAAGCCACGGCUAACUACGU
RNAcentral lists this ribosomal RNA (495 nucleotides) under uncultured bacterium. RNAcentral describes it as "partial 16S ribosomal RNA". It matches the Rfam family "Bacterial small subunit ribosomal RNA", at positions 29 to 506 of the family's 1533-position model. The record is from RNAcentral.